Molecule: long non-coding RNA, 4107 nt
Filed under: Manihot esculenta (cassava)
Lineage: Eukaryota; Viridiplantae; Streptophyta; Magnoliopsida; Malpighiales; Euphorbiaceae
Description: long non-coding RNA (MESC_LNC007592)
Source: RNAcentral
CUAGUUGUUGGUUAUCUUUUAUGACAGCUACUAGCCUACUACUGUUUCUUUUUUACUUCUGGAAAUGAUGAACCAUACAGUCAUGACCUGAUAUGUAAUAUUCUCAGUGCCCAUGAAAAUGAUAUGGUACUAUUAUAAAUUCUGCUCUUAUAUUCAUAGUGCAAUUUGUUGCUUAUUGGCUGUUUCAAUUUGCUAAUUGUUAUAUGCUCUUGUGCUUGAGAGUGGAUGUAAAUUUGGAACUGUUAUUGCAUUUAAAAUCUUCUAUUGUAUUAUGCCACACAAGGUUUUACAAGAAAAGCAGAGAGAGAGAGAGAGAGAGAGAGAGAAAGAGAGAGAAAGAGAGAGAAAUGUUGUGUAGUAACAAGUUCUCUGUUGGCUAAUAAUUUUUUAUUAGUUAGGAGCCUUAAUGAAUGAAAAAUGGAAGUCUCCAACCUAGUUUUGCUGAUAGAAUAUUAUAAAUUCUGAUGAUGCACUUGUUAGCACCACAAUAAUGCAGUGUUCUAUUUUCCAUAAAAUAACCCAAAUUUGUUGAACCUUUUCUUCUUAUUAUUAUUAUUUUAAUUUAACCAUUUUGAUAAUCAUGUUUGAAUUUAAAAUUGAAAUGGCAUUUAAAAGAAAAGAAACAAGAAGUUUAUAUUUGGAUUACUUACAGUGUCUUUUCUGCGUCUUAUUUUUCCUUGCUUCUUUCCUAGUGAAAUUUUCAAAUCCACCAUAAGUUCACUAAUUCCAAACUCAAUUGUUUGCUGCUCUUUCACUCUUGAUAUUACUAAUUUUGUUGAAAAUUCACUCUUAACAACCAGGUAAUCAUUAAGAUGGACGAUCUCACCCAAAAAGACUGUAGUUUCUCCUGUGUAGUUUUUGGUUUACUCUCUUAAAAUGGCUUUUUUGGCUUUUGAUUUGUGUGGUUGCUGCUGUUUUGUCUCUUGGAGAAUGAUUGUAAAUUUAGCGUUUGAUUUGAUUGGAGACUGGGAAGAGACUGUUAUGGUCCCAGGUUGCGGAUUGUGUCAUGGGAUGACCCAUGAUUGAUAGAAAAGGAGCUCGUUGGAGGGAGCUUUUAACACCUCAAGACUCGAAAAGGAGAGAGUCUCAAUCUCACAAUUCUUAGAAUAAAUAUACUAGUUUUAUUGAAUAAAAUAGAUUUAGGAUAAAAUAAAUAGAAAAUAUGAUAAGAUAAGAUAAUGGGAAAUCUGAAAAGAAACUACUAGAUAAAUAAAAAGGAGAUUUACUAGUUAGUCUCUGAGUAUUGCCAUUAUUAACAAAUCAGUCUCUAUAUUUUUAAAAAUCUAUUAAAACAUCUUUAUAUUUUCUCUCCGUCAUUGAAAUAGUCAUUAUAUCCUCUUUUCCGUUAAAAAUAGAUAAAGGAUGAGAGAGAAAAUUUUUAAAAUCUAAUUUUGCUCUCAAAUAAAAUCCCUUAUUUAGUCCUUGGAUAUUGCUAUUAUUAACAAGUCAGUCUCUAUAUUUUCAGAAAUAUAUUAAAACGUCCUUAUCUUUUCUUAUAUCUAUUAAAAUGUCCUUAUCGUUUCUUUCCGUCAACGAAAUAGUCCCUUCUCUUCCUCCUCCUCAAAAAAGAAGAAAAAAGAAGAAGAAGAAGAUGAUGAUGAUGAAGGAGAAAAAGAAGAAAAAGAAGAAGAAAAAGAAGAAGAAGAUGAUGAUGAUGAAGAAGAAGAAGAAAAAGAAUCGCCUCCUCCUCCUCCUUCUCCUUAAAGAAGAAGAAUAAAAAGAAAAAUCGAAGAAGAAUCAAAGAAGAAGAAGAAGAAAAAGAAGAAUCAAAGAAGAAGAAGAAGAGGAGGAAGAAUCGAUGAAGAAGAAGAAGAAGAGGAGGAAGAAUCGAUGAAGAGGAAGAAUCGAUGCAGAAGAAGAAGAAGGAGGAGGAGGAGGAGAAGAAGAGGGGUAAUUUGAUCUUUUGCUAUAUUUUUAACUGUAGAAAUAGACGGAAUGACUAUUUUGUUGAUGGAGAGAAAAGAUAAGGACGUUUUAAUAGGUUUCUGAAAAUGUAGGGACUGAUUUGUUAAUAAUGGCAAUACCCAGGGACUAAAUAGUAAAUCUCCCUAAAUAAAAUCUGUUUGUUAUGGAUUUUGUCUAUCCAUUAUUUAUAACAUCAUCAAGCUCAAAUGUGAGAUAUGCAACAUGAAAAUAAAAUAAAAUAAUUGAUAGACUCUCUUGUAGUUUCAAAUUCAAGACAACAUUAUCAACUAACUAAUAUUUUUUAAAUUCGGGUGUCUGGAUCAAAGGUAACUUCACUUGAAACUAAAUCAAGUUCAUUUGAAACAUGAUCUACUACGUCUACUCUUGUAAGUUUCAGAAUGUAGGAUGAUAAUGUACCAUUUGUGCCGUCACACGAUGAAAAGUUGAGUUUGUCAUUUCGGAGCACCGUAGGUACUUCUAUCUUCUCAUUCGCUUAUUGGCCAAAAUUUGAUUGGUUGCAGCUCGAUUUAUCUUGAUUUUGGAUUUUGGUUCAACCUCCUAUUGAAGGUUCAGACUAGUUCAGAAAUCUGCUGAGUUAAGUCAUUAAGUCAUUCAAACGUCCAUCAAAUUGUUGCAUGAAAGAAUUCAACUUAUCUUCUAGAUUUAUUGAAAUACCUGUGAUGCUCUGAUACUAAAUUAUUAUGGUCCUAGAUUGCGGAUUGUGUCAUGGGAUGAUUGAUAGGAAAAGAGCUCAUUAGAGGGAGCUCUUAACACCUCAAAGACUAAAAAAGGAGUCUCAAUUUUAUAAUUCUUAGAAUAAAUAUGCUUGUAUUAUUAAAUAAAAUAAACCCCUUUUAUAGUGGCGGUUCUAAUACUCCUAAUUAAAGUAGAAGUCUAAUACUAGUAACCAUUAGAUCUAGGAUAAGAUAAUAAAAAAUAUGGUAAGAUAAGAUAAUGAAAAAUCUGAGAAAAAACUAUUAAAUAAAUAAAAUAUGUUUGUUAUGGAUUUGGCCUAUCCAUAACUAUAACAUAGUUGUUAUGGUCCCACGUUGCGGAUUGCGUCAUGGGAUGAUUGAUAAGAAAGGAGCUCCUCAGAAGGAGCUUGUAACACCUUAAGACUCAAAAAGGAGAGAGUCUCUAUCUCACGAUUCUUAGAAUAAAUAUGUUUUUUUGGCUUUUGAUUUGUGUGGUUGCUGGUGUUUUGUCUCUUGGAGAAUGAUUGUAAAUUUAGGGUUUGAUUUGAUUGGAGACUGGGAAGAGGCUUUCAUUGCUAUUGCUCUUACCAUGGAAGAGAGAAUGGAAUACCAUGAGUUAUCGACUAGUGAGAAUGAUCAAAUAAAAAGAUAUGAAUUUUGUCUGAUUGUGUGUUGCACCAGUUAAGAUAUGCAGGACCUUCUGUUUUUUCUAGUUAUUUCUUACUUCUUUUUAAAAUUAUUUUACAUCCCUAAGGUAUGUUAAAUUAACACUUAUCUUCCUCUAUUUUUUAAAACUCAACUAUUUAAUCUUUGUAUUUUGAUUCCUUCAAAUUGGAAGUCUCUGUUUAAAUUUUUUGUUAAUCAUCUUUGAACUAACCAAAAUACCCUUAAAUAUACAGUAUGCUUUAAUACUUGGAUUAUAUCAAAAUUAACACAUACAACCCUUAAUUUCUCAAAAAUAAAUAGUUUAAAAUAGUUUUCUUUUUUUGUGUUGCUAUACACACACACACAGAGAGAGAGAGAGAGAGGUGGGGGCAUGCAGAUAGAAUUAUGAAUUUUUGUAUAAAUGUCUAGAAUUUCUAAUUGUAUUAGAUUUUUGUUUAUAAUACUUAGGAAUUGAAUAUGGAUUAUUUUUGCUGUUAUCACCUUAACAUCAAAAUGAGUUCAUAAUGCAAUGGGCAUAUCAACAUUUACGAUUUUACUGUUUGGUUUGUGAAAAGUCCAUGGGAUUUGGGAAGGUGUCGCAUGCCAUAGCAGUAGGAGGAGUUAUUUUUCUUUUUACAUUACUUUGUUUUUGCAGAACUAAUAUUUCUGUCUUUGAAACACAAAAAACAGUAAAAUUUUGUUGGCUUCCAUAUAUACACGCAUAAGGUAGCAAAAGAAGUGAUACUUUUCAGUAUUGUUUCAUCACAAUUAAUUUUGCAUGCUUCAUUCCUGAUAAUGCGUUUCUAUAUAACCUUUUAUAGCCAUUUAAUUGAUUCUACAUUCUUUUUUUUUUUUUUUUUNN